AACGAACGCUGGCGGCAGGCCUAACACAUGCAAGUCGAGCGGACCCUUCGGGGUUAGCGGCGGACGGGUGAGUAACGCGUGGGAACGUGCCCUUUGCUUCGGAAUAGCCCUGGGAAACUGGGAGUAAUACCGGAUACGCCCUUUUGGGGAAAGAUUUAUCGGCGAAGGAUCGGCCCGCGUUGGAUUAGGUAGUUGGUGGGGUAAUGGCCUACCAAGCCGACGAUCCAUAGCUGGUUUGAGAGGAUGAUCAGCCACACUGGGACUGAGACACGGCCCAGACUCCUACGGGAGGCAGCAGUGGGGAAUCUUAGACAAUGGGGGAAACCCUGAUCGAGCCAUGCCGCGUGAGCGAUGAAGGCCUUAGGGUUGUAAAGCUAUUUCACCGGGGAAGAUAAUGACGGUACCCGGAGAAGAAGCCCCGGCUAACUCCGUG
This 433-nucleotide ribosomal RNA is filed under the name uncultured bacterium. Its description in RNAcentral is "partial 16S ribosomal RNA". It matches the Rfam family "Bacterial small subunit ribosomal RNA", at positions 29 to 507 of the family's 1533-position model. The record is from RNAcentral.